AGCACCGGGUAAAUCCGAGUAUGAGCUGAAUAAGAUUCCAUUGUAUCUAGGCACCAUAUUUUCGUCAUCUCUCAUCAGCUGAUGAAUAUUUAGGCUGCCUCAGUGUCCUAGCAGCUAAUGAACAUGGGACAGGACCACAGCAGUCAGAGCCCACAGCACCUGUGGUCGCUUGAACAAGACCAGCACCAGACCAAGCCAGACAGCAUUCGAUCAUGGAAGCCUCCUCCCCUAACUGAGGCGCUGUGGACAGGUGAGGGCUUCUGAGGGGCGGAGAGUCCGUUUUCUUUAAGGAUAUGGCCCCAGCUAUGUCAACCGUGUUGCUGUGCAUGGACCCGCCCCCAGGAGUAUAUGGGGAGCAUAAAUUGAACUGGAGAGGUUAUAAAAAGGAAAAAAGAGAACAUGAAGUUGGGGGUGGGGCUAAGGAAGUGAAGCUGGAUCUGAAAGGAAUA
Onychomys torridus (southern grasshopper mouse) is the source of this 449-nucleotide long non-coding RNA. RefSeq lists it as uncharacterized. Lineage: Eukaryota; Metazoa; Chordata; Mammalia; Rodentia; Cricetidae. The transcript has 3 exons. The record is from RefSeq and is a predicted model, not a curated record.